This 338-nucleotide ribosomal RNA is filed under the name Lasiopa balius. RNAcentral's name for it is "partial 16S ribosomal RNA". The record is from RNAcentral. Lineage: Eukaryota; Metazoa; Arthropoda; Insecta; Diptera; Stratiomyidae.
UCUUUUAAUUGAAGGCUUGUAUGAAUGGUUGGACGAGAUAUUAACUGUUUCAGUUUAAAAUUAGGAAUUUUAUUUUUUAGUAAAAAAGCUAAAAUAGUAUUAAAAGACGAGAAGACCCUAUAGAUCUUUAUAAUUUAUGUAUUAGUUUUAUAAAGAAUAUUUCAAAUUUAAUAUAGAAAAUUAUUUUAUUGGGGCGAUAAUAAGAUUUAAUGAACUCUUAUAUAUUUAAAACAUAAAUUAGUGAAUAAUUGAUCCAUUAUUAAUGAUUAAUAAAUCAAGUUACCUUAGGGAUAACAGCGUAAUUUUUUUAGAGAGUUCAUAUCGAUAAAAAAGAUUGC